This 1497-nucleotide ribosomal RNA is filed under the name Enterobacter cloacae. RNAcentral describes it as "partial 16S ribosomal RNA". It matches the Rfam family "Bacterial small subunit ribosomal RNA". Lineage: Bacteria; Pseudomonadati; Pseudomonadota; Gammaproteobacteria; Enterobacterales; Enterobacteriaceae. The record is from RNAcentral.
CCUUAGAUAGCGCAGCGAUGCUCCUGGUAUCAGUGUACGAUAGCGUGCUCUCUAGAGUUGAGUGGUGGACGGGUGAGUAAUGUCUGGGAAACUGCCUGAUGGAGGGGGAUAACUACUGGAAACGGUAGCUAAUACCGCAUAACGUCGCAAGACCAAAGAGGGGGACCUUCGGGCCUCUUGCCAUCAGAUGUGCCCAGAUGGGAUUAGCUAGUAGGUGGGGUAACGGCUCACCUAGGGCGAUGCAGUUCCAUGGCUGGUCUAGAGAGGAUGACCAUGCCUCACUGGAUCUGAGACACGUUCCAGACUCCUACGGGAGGCAGUGCGAGUGGGGAAUAUGGUGCACAAUCGGGCGUCAAGGCUGCAUGCAGGCCAUGCCUCGUGUUAUAGAAGAAAGGCCUUUCGGGGUUGUUAAGUUACUUUCAGCCGGGGAGGGAGGGUGUUGUUGGUUAAUAACCUCAUGCAAUUGACGUUACCGGCUGGAAGGAGGCACCGGGUAAUUUCGUGCCCAGCCAGCCGGCGGUAAUACUGGAGGGGUGCAAGCGGUUAAUCGGGAAUUACUGGGGCGUAAAGCGCACGCAGGCGGUCUGUCAAGUCUGGAUGUUGAAAUCCCCGGGCUCAACCUGGGGACUUGCAUUCGAAACUGGCAGGGUAGAGUCUUGUAGAGGGGGGGUAGAAUUCCAGGUGUAGCGGUGAAAUGCGUAGAGAUCUGGAGGAAUACCGGUGGCGAAGGCGGCCCCCUGGACAAAAGACUGACGCUCAGGUGCGAAAGCGUGGGGAGCAAACAGGAUUAGAUACCCUGGUAGUCCACGCCGUAAACGAUGUCGAUUUGGAGGUUGUGCCCUUGAGGCGUGGCUUCCGGAGCUAACGCGUUAAAUCGACCGCCUGGGGAGUACGGCCGCAAGGUUAAAACUCAAAUGAAUUUGACGGGGGCCCGCCACAAGCGGUGGAGCAUGUGGUUUAAUUUGAUGCAACGCGAAGAAGCUUUACCUGGGUCUUGACAUUCCACAGAACUUUGCAAGAGAUGCGUUUGGUGCCUUUCGGGAACUGAUGAAGACAGGUGCUGCAUGGCUGUCGUCAGCUCGUGUUGUGAAAUGUUGGGUUAAAGUCCCGCAAACGAGCGCAAUCCUUAUCCUUUGUUGGCAGCGGUUAAGGCCGGGACCUCAAAGGAGACUGGCAGUGGUAUACCUGGAGGACGGUGGGGAUGAACGUCAAGUCAUCUAUGGCCCUUACGACCAGGGCUACACACGUGCUACAAUUGCGCAUACAUAGUGAAGCGACCUCGCGAGAGCAAGCGGACCUCAUAAAGUGCGUCGUAGUCCGGAUUGGAGUUUGCAACUCGACUCCAUGAAGUCGGAAUCGCUAGUAAUCGUAGAUCAGAAUGCUACGGUGAAUACGUUCCCGGGCCUUUGUUUUUGCGCCCGUCACUCCAACGAGGGGGCCCUAAAGAAGUAGUUGGGUUAAUCAGUGGUAACAAUGUAGCCGUUUUGGUGACUUCUU